This 586-nucleotide ribosomal RNA is filed under the name uncultured bacterium. RNAcentral's name for it is "bacterial SSU rRNA". It matches the Rfam family "Bacterial small subunit ribosomal RNA", at positions 338 to 916 of the family's 1533-position model. The record is from RNAcentral.
CCUACGGGAGGCAGCAGUGGGGAAUUUUGGACAAUGGGCGCAAGCCUGAUCCAGCCAUGCCGCGUGUCUGAAGAAGGCCUUCGGGUUGUAAAGGACUUUUGUCAGGGAAGAAAAGGGCGGGGUUAAUACCCCUGUCUGAUGACGGUACCUGAAGAAUAAGCACCGGCUAACUACGUGCCAGCAGCCGCGGUAAUACGUAGGGUGCAAGCGUUAAUCGGAAUUACUGGGCGUAAAGAGUGCGCAGGCGGUUUUGCAAGACCGAUGUGAAAUCCCCGGGCUUAACCUGGGAACUGCGUUCUGAACUGGGUGGCUAGAGUGUGUCAGAGGGGGGUAGAAUUCCACGUGUAGCAGUGAAAUGCGUAGAGAUGUGGAGGAAUACCGAUGGCGAAGGCAGCCCCCUGGGAUGGCACUGACGUUCAUGCCCGGAAGCGUGGGGAGCAAACAGGAUUAGAUACCCUGGUAGUCCACGCCCUAAACGAUGUCGAUUAGCUGUUGGGCAGCAUGACUGCUUAGUAGCGAAGCUAACGCGUGAAAUCGACCGCCUGGGGAGUACGACCGCAAGGUUGAAACUCAAAGGAAUUGACGG